GGUUAAGCGACUAAGCGUACACGGUGGAUGCCCUGGCAGUCAGAGGCGAUGAAGGACGUGCUAAUCUGCGAUAAGCGUCGGUAAGGUGAUAUGAACCGUUAUAACCGGCGAUUUCCGAAUGGGGAAACCCAGUGUGAUUCGUCACACUAUCAUUAACUGAAUCCAUAGGUUAAUGAGGCGAACCGGGGGAACUGAAACAUCUAAGUACCCCGAGGAAAAGAAAUCAACCGAGAUUCCCCCAGUAGCGGCGAGCGGACGGGGAGCAGCCCAGAGCCUGAAUCAGUGUGUGUGUUAGUGGAAGCGUCUGGAAAGGCGUGCGAUACAGGGUGACAGCCCCGUACACAAAAAUGCACAUAUUGUGAGCUUGAUGAGUAGGGCGGGACACGUGGUAUCCUGUCUGAAUAUGGGGGGACCAUCCUCCAAGGCUAAAUACUCCUGACUGACCGAUAGUGAACCAGUACCGUGAGGGAAAGGCGAAAAGAACCCCGGCGAGGGGAGUGAAAAAGAACCUGAAACCGUGUACGUACAAGCAGUGGGAGCACGCUUAGGCGUGUGACUGCGUACCUUUUGUAUAAUGGGUCAGCGACUUAUAUUCUGUAGCAAGGUUAACCGAAUAGGGGAGCCGAAGGGAAACCGAGUCUUAACUGGGCGUUAAGUUGCAGGGUAUAGACCCGAAACCCGGUGAUCUAGCCAUGGGCAGGUUGAAGGUUGGGUAACACUAACUGGAGGACCGAACCGACUAAUGUUGAAAAAUUAGCGGAUGACUUGUGGCUGGGGGUGAAAGGCCAAUCAAACCGGGAGAUAGCUGGUUCUCCCCGAAAGCUAUUUAGGUAGCGCCUCGUGAAUUCAUCUCCGGGGGUAGAGCACUGUUUCGGCAAGGGGGUCAUCCCGACUUACCAACCCGAUGCAAACUGCGAAUACCGGAGAAUGUUAUCACGGGAGACACACGGCGGGUGCUAACGUCCGUCGUGAAGAGGGAAACAACCCAGACCGCCAGCUAAGGUCCCAAAGUCAUGGUUAAGUGGGAAACGAUGUGGGAAGGCCCAGACAGCCAGGAUGUUGGCUUAGAAGCAGCCAUCAUUUAAAGAAAGCGUAAUAGCUCACUGGUCGAGUCGGCCUGCGCGGAAGAUGUAACGGGGCUAAACCAUGCACCGAAGCUGCGGCAGCGACGCUUAUGCGUUGUUGGGUAGGGGAGCGUUCUGUAAGCCUGCGAAGGUGUGCUGUGAGGCAUGCUGGAGGUAUCAGAAGUGCGAAUGCUGACAUAAGUAACGAUAAAGCGGGUGAAAAGCCCGCUCGCCGGAAGACCAAGGGUUCCUGUCCAACGUUAAUCGGGGCAGGGUGAGUCGACCCCUAAGGCGAGGCCGAAAGGCGUAGUCGAUGGGAAACAGGUUAAUAUUCCUGUACUUGGUAUUACUGCGAAGGGGGGACGGAGAAGGCUAUGUUGGCCGGGCGACGGUUGUCCCGGUUUAAGCGUGUAGGCUGGUUUUCCAGGCAAAUCCGGAAAAUCAAGGCUGAGGCGUGAUGACGAGGCACUACGGUGCUGAAGCAACAAAUGCCCUGCUUCCAGGAAAAGCCUCUAAGCAUCAGGUAACAUCAAAUCGUACCCCAAACCGACACAGGUGGUCAGGUAGAGAAUACCAAGGCGCUUGAGAGAACUCGGGUGAAGGAACUAGGCAAAAUGGUGCCGUAACUUCGGGAGAAGGCACGCUGAUAUGUAGGUGAAGUCCCUUGCGGAUGGAGCUGAAAUCAGUCGAAGAUACCAGCUGGCUGCAACUGUUUAUUAAAAACACAGCACUGUGCAAACACGAAAGUGGACGUAUACGGUGUGACGCCUGCCCGGUGCCGGAAGGUUAAUUGAUGGGGUCAGCGCAAGCGAAGCUCUUGAUCGAAGCCCCGGUAAACGGCGGCCGUAACUAUAACGGUCCUAAGGUAGCGAAAUUCCUUGUCGGGUAAGUUCCGACCUGCACGAAUGGCGUAAUGAUGGCCAGGCUGUCUCCACCCGAGACUCAGUGAAAUUGAACUCGCUGUGAAGAUGCAGUGUACCCGCGGCAAGACGGAAAGACCCCGUGAACCUUUACUAUAGCUUGACACUGAACAUUGAGCCUUGAUGUGUAGGAUAGGUGGGAGGCUUUGAAGUGUGGACGCCAGUCUGCAUGGAGCCGGCCUUGAAAUACCACCCUUUAAUGUUUGAUGUUCUAACGUGGACCCGUGAUCCGGGUUGCGGACAGUGUCUGGUGGGUAGUUUGACUGGGGCGGUCUCCUCCUAAAGAGUAACGGAGGAGCACGAAGGUUGGCUAAUCCUGGUCGGACAUCAGGAGGUUAGUGCAAUGGCAUAAGCCAGCUUGACUGCGAGCGUGACGGCGCGAGCAGGUGCGAAAGCAGGUCAUAGUGAUCCGGUGGUUCUGAAUGGAAGGGCCAUCGCUCAACGGAUAAAAGGUACUCCGGGGAUAACAGGCUGAUACCGCCCAAGAGUUCAUAUCGACGGCGGUGUUUGGCACCUCGAUGUCGGCUCAUCACAUCCUGGGGCUGAAGUAGGUCCCAAGGGUAUGGCUGUUCGCCAUUUAAAGUGGUACGCGAGCUGGGUUUAGAACGUCGUGAGACAGUUCGGUCCCUAUCUGCCGUGGGCGCUGGAGAACUGAGGGGGGCUGCUCCUAGUACGAGAGGACCGGAGUGGACGCAUCACUGGUGUUCGGGUUGUCAUGCCAAUGGCACUGCCCGGUAGCUAAAUGCGGAAGAGAUAAGUGCUGAAAGCAUCUAAGCACGAAACUUGCCCCGAGAUGAGUUCUCCCUGACCCUUUAAGGGUCCUGAAGGAACGUUGAAGACGACGACGUUGAUAGGCCGGGUGUGUAAGCGCAGCGAUGCGUUGAGCUAACCGGUACUAAUGAACCGUGAGGCUUAACCUU
RNAcentral lists this ribosomal RNA (2904 nucleotides) under Shigella sonnei Ss046. Its description in RNAcentral is "Bacterial large subunit ribosomal RNA". It matches the Rfam family "Bacterial large subunit ribosomal RNA". Lineage: Bacteria; Pseudomonadati; Pseudomonadota; Gammaproteobacteria; Enterobacterales; Enterobacteriaceae. The record is from Rfam by way of RNAcentral.